This 426-nucleotide ribosomal RNA is filed under the name uncultured bacterium. Its description in RNAcentral is "partial 16S ribosomal RNA". It matches the Rfam family "Bacterial small subunit ribosomal RNA", at positions 354 to 796 of the family's 1533-position model. The record is from RNAcentral.
GUGAGGAAUUUUCCGCAAUGGGCGAAAGCCUGACGGAGCAAUGCCGCGUGAAGGAUGAAGGCCUAUGGGUUGUAAACUUCUUUUCUCAGAAAAGAAUUAUGACGGUAUCUGAGGAAUAAGCAUCGGCUAACUCUGUGCCAGCAGCCGCGGUAAGACAGAGGAUGCAAGCGUUAUCCGGAAUGAUUGGGCGUAAAGCGUCUGUAGGUUGUUUAAAAAGUAUUCUGUCAAAGAUUAGGGCUUAACCCUAGAUAGGCAGAAUAAACUUUUAAGCUAGAGUUUGGUAGAGGCAGAGGGAAUUCCCGGUGGAGCGGUGAGAUGCGUAGAUAUCGGGAGGAACACCAAAGGCGAAGGCACUCUGCUGGGCCAAUACUAACACUGAGAGACGAAAGCGAGGGGAGCAAAUGGGAUUAGAUACCCCGGUAGUCC